Molecule: long non-coding RNA, 2740 nt
Filed under: Marmota monax (woodchuck)
Lineage: Eukaryota; Metazoa; Chordata; Mammalia; Rodentia; Sciuridae
Source: RNAcentral
CCUGGGAGCCAGAGUCCUCUGAUCCCAAGAGGCAGGAUAUGGAAGAGGUGGAGGCCGGAGUAGGGCUCAGCCUCUACCUCCAGGCCCACGUCGUGGGGGGUGUCCCCUCUGUGUGUUUCAUAUCAUGAUGACGCCAAGAGCAUGAAGUAGAAUUCCCCCUUUUCUGCCCUCAUCCUACUGCGGUGAUGACAUCUUCUUCUACCUUUCCUGUUGGCGGGAAUCCAGGGGUUGUCCUCUGUUCCUUUGUUCCCACGGCUCAAGAACUCCCAGGUCUUUUGACUCCACCGUUAACCUCUCUGGAGUCCUCCACCUGCCGGGUCCUCACAGCCCCUCCCAGGCCCCCUGCCCUGAGCUCUGACCUAGGCAUUGACUCUCCCUCAGCCUCCAGCCUGCCCUCCUCCUGCAGGCACCUGGUCCAUCCAUGACUUGAUCCUGCUGAAAACUUGCUUUGGCCCCAUCCGGACCCCCAGCCUCAGCUGGGGAUCCUCCACUCAGCAGUGAGUGGCCAGCGAGCGAAUGGGCGACUAGACAAACAUCUCCUGGCACAGGAGUGACUGCCCUGGCAAAGCUUGUAGAUCCCAAGACUUUAUUAAAAGACCCAGAUGUUUCAAUCCUCCAAAUUCCUGCUUUGGAAGAAAAAAGAAAAGUAAAACAUAAACACCAGUAUUGUUUUCUCGUGAAGAUUCACCUUUUUUACUUUGCUUUUAAUCCUGAGCCCAGCACAGCCUUUUGGGUCUUUGUAACAAACUUGAGCUUAUCCUGGAAGGAGGAGGAGGGGACCUCAAACUCCAAGAGGGAGCUCCUGCUGGAGGUCAGGGAGGGAGGAAGAAAGAAAGGGAAAGAAGAAAUUCCUAGCACCCCAUGGGUUCUUCCACAUCUCAAAUAAUCCCAAAUGGAUGUUUUUCUUCAUUGAAAAAAAAAAAGGCUUUGUUUUUGUAAAAAUGUCACAACCCCUUAUAAGUGAUGCUCGUCACAUCAUUGAAAAAGUUUAAACCAGCAAAGAGGACAAAGAGGAAAAGAAGAUGACUCCACACGGCACCGCCCAGCUGCUUGUGUGAGUGUAUUCAUGUGCAUGGUGUGUGCUACCCUUGAAAAAAUCUCACCACCCAAGAAGGCGAUGUCGUCUGCCACACCUGGCCUCCGCCUCUGCAGCUCCAACCCCCAAACCAUUCUCUGGUGAUUCACGCACCUGGACAAUACCUGUUUACUGGGGCUGAGGAUGUAGCCCAUGGUAGAGCACUCCCUAUAGGCGACAUAGAGCCUAGGUAGAGAGAACCCUGGUCUCCAUCCCCAGCACAGAAAAGGAGGAGGAGGAAGAGGGAGAGGAAGGCGCAGGAGAAGGGUGUGUGUGAUGUUUAGUUGCAACUGCAGCCAGAGCUGCCGGGGGUGCUCCUUCUUGAGGAAGCUAGAGGGAACUUUCUGAAGAGGUGACAGUUGGUCUGAAGGAAGAAGACGCAUAAACUGGAGAGGUAGAGAAACUGCAUGCCCAGCAGAGGGCAAGGCCAGUGGGCAGGAAAUUCUGAUGUGGCCACCAUGACAGACUGCCAGUUCCCCUUCCUCCACAUGGAGACUUGAUUUUUAUUCUAGUGUCUCCCCUCCCCAAAUUCACUAAUUUACUAGUUUACUCACGUUUCCCCUGGAGAAUCUAAGCUCAUGAUGGUAGCCUCGUCUCCUUGCCAGUGGUUUUGGUGAGGGGAUGGGUGAGCGAAUGUGACCUGGUCUGAUAAGAAAAGGAAGGAACCAGAAAGGUCUGCAGAGAGACUUCUGGGAAGCACCAGCCAAUUGCUUUUCUGCAUCCAGAUACCAAUGGUGAGGUUGUGAUAUCCAGAUUGUCACAGCCAUCUUGAACCCCUGAGGAUGAGGCCAACAGGUUACGGUGACCGAACAAAAAGAGAGCAAAAAUCUGGGCUCUUACUGGUGUCAAAGAGCCUUUGAAAAAGGCUACUCACGAGGCUGAGGCAGGAGGAUCACAAGUUUGAGGCCAGCUUCAUCAAUUUAGAGAGGUCCCAUCUCAAAAUAAAAAAUAAAAGGGCUGGGGAUGAAGCUUAGUGAUAAAGUGCCGCUGAGUUCAAUCCCCAGUAGAGAGAGAGAGAGAGAUUAUGAAUGGGGACAGAGCUCCAACCCCCAAACCAUUCUCUGGUGAUUUCUUUGGCAAUAUCCAGCAAAAGCUUACUUUUCUUUUGUUGGCACCACCUGAGUCCUCAUCUUGUCCCCACCCCUGGCAGAGUCAGAGCUCAUAGUAGAUGUUUGUGAAAUGGAAAGAUGGACAGAUCUGAUUGUCUGUAGGAGAACAGCAAGAGUUGGGGGUGAGGGGCUUGCGGAGGUAACCCUACUGGCCUCCUGCUGGGCCUCCUGCAUGGACAAGAACCAUGUGGACACAGCGGUACCUGGAAGCUUUCAGGCCCUCAGGAGAGUGGCCAGGGUAAGUUCCCCUCUGCGGCAGUCCAGGAUGAACUGUGCAGGUGCAGCUGGGGUGAGCAGGAUGGCAGCAUCACCAAGCUGCACUCCAGGGCUCACUGGGAGUUUCCCUCCAGGUUGUUCAACUUGCUGGUGGCACUGAGUGAGGUCCCUGGGCUGUGGCCCUGUCUUGAUCCGACCUUGGGAGUGUGGGCACAGGGUUUGGGUCUGACUUCGUAAGCUGCCCCUGGAGCUCAGGUAAGGUGCAUGGUGCCUCGUCUUCCUGAGUGUCCCCCAUAUUCCCAUUCUCCAAGUUUUUUCACAACCACAAUCUCAUUUCCAU